GUGUUCACUUCAGCAGCACAUAUACUAAAAUUGGAACAAUACAGAGAAGAUUAGCAUGGUCUGUGCACAAAGAUGACAUGGAAAAUCAUGAAGCGUUCCAUAUUUUU
Molecule: small nuclear RNA, 107 nt
Filed under: Chinchilla lanigera (long-tailed chinchilla)
Lineage: Eukaryota; Metazoa; Chordata; Mammalia; Rodentia; Chinchillidae
Source: RNAcentral